Capsicum annuum is the source of this 1004-nucleotide long non-coding RNA. RefSeq lists it as uncharacterized. NCBI's taxonomy places the organism in Eukaryota, Viridiplantae, Streptophyta, Magnoliopsida, Solanales, Solanaceae. The transcript has 5 exons. The record is from RefSeq and is a predicted model, not a curated record.
ACAAAAUAACAAAUAGAUAAGUAAAGUACUUUGUACUUCUAGAAAGCUCAAUUUAACUUAUUUUCAAAUCAAAUACUUCAUAUUCUCCGUAUGAAACAAGCAAGCUGUCAAUCUAACGUUUCAUUAUAAUACUUAUGCUUUAAGCUUGUUUGUUGAUGAAAAAUUCAAUAUCAUAUUUCUUUUUUUCUUGAAAUUUAGGCAACAUUGAUGUUUUAAGAAUUGUGGAUUGUCUAAAGCUAUCUGAAAGAAUUUGAUUUAUAUUUGUGUAUUAGACUCAGCUGAUUAAGCAAUCUUCUUCGUGAAAGAAUCUUCUGUGUUGACUUUUCAAAUUAGAGGAUUAAUACUGAACACCUCCAAACUUUAAAAAGCUAUUGCCAGCGAAAUUGAAGUUUUUAACUCCAACAGAAAAACUUAUCGAGAUAUAUUUAGAUUUGGCUAACAUAAAGUGCAUGGACAUCUCAAGAGGCUGCAGCUGCUGGUGCACAAGCAGAUGCUGAAGUAGAGGCAGCUAUAACUGAGCCUUUGGAGGUUGCUGAAGCUGCUCAAGCCUUUUCAGUAGCUGCCAAGAAGACACCACAUGGGAGAAGUGCCCCAAGGAUGACUAUCAGAUACUAAGAAUAUUAUUGAAGAUGAAAGAGCUUAAUCACUCUCUCAUCAUAUGAAAAUGUUUCAUCAAAGGAGGUAAAAGUUGAAAAGGAAAGAUAAGCAAGUCAUUCAAGUCAACAAGAGGUCAAAUGUGAAAGAAAAGAGUCAUCUACUUUGCAUCUGCUUAAGCAGAUCAAGAUCAAUGUGACAUUUUUGUAAUAUUUGUUAAAUGUAGAAUUGGGACUUAAAUAGGGGUUUUAGCUCAUUUUUAUCCAUCUAUUUCUCCCAUUAUCUAUCUUUCAUUCUGGAAAUAAUAUUGUACUACUAUUGAGUAUAGAAUACAUUAGAGUAAUUCCUAAGUGAAGGAUUAACAAUUUCAAUUGAAGAUUUAUUGAAAUUUAAAGUUUGAAUUUGUAUUC